AAACUUCAAAGCACUAUAUAUACUAACAUAACGAACAAGAGUUGGAGCAUCACAAAGAGCUUAAAAUUGGGUAGCCGCAAAUGGGGAGUAAUGGAGAGAGAGUUGAAGGAUAUUGGGAAGGUUUUGGUAUGGGUGAGUAGGGAAGAUAAUUUAACUAAGUAAUAAUAAUAUCACUUUUUAUUAUUAUUACUAUUUGCUUAAGGAAUUUGUAUAUCUUCCCUACUCCACCCAUGCCAUAGGUUUCCCAUUAUUCCUCCCUCUCCUUAUCUCACCUCUGUUCCAAGAAGUAUACUCUAUAUGGGUUGCUUAUAAUUUCAUUGCCUUUGUGUUUAAUUGUCUAUUUUAUGCUAAUCAUAUAUUUGUCUAUUUGUUAAUAAGGAAACAUGCUUGUCUAAUAAGCUUUCACACACACACACACGCACGCACGCACACACUAAUAUUUCAUAUAUUGACAUAUGAUUUUUCCCUCACAUCGACGUUACGCACACAUUUUUUUUUUUUAACUUUUUACUGCGUUAUUUUGAUUGUACCUUUAUGUAUGUGUCUCAUGGGAUUGCCAAUUAAUGUUGUAGCCUUGCAGGUUUUGCUUGCUGGUUCUUUGCCAAUUAAUUUAGCUACUAAUUGGAAUUUGAAGCAGAGAGUUCAGAUUUCAGGGACCUGUUCCUUAUAACCCACAAAAUAUGGUUAUAAAUUUGUGUAGUUCAGUAUGUGUAUAUGUAGAAUCCAACUUAUGCUCACUUAGGUUUGAGAGCACGGGUUUUACCAAUUGGCUCAUAGUCCAUUGGUAACAUUUAUGUUCUCAUCAAACUUGAAAAUAUGUGUUGGAGUCUUUAUUAAGAUUCAUAUUCUCCUCUCAAUUUAAUUGAAUAAAGAGUAGACGGUUGAGUUGUACAAUAAUAGACUGGAUUGUAAUAUACAUGCGAAAACAAAAGAAGGUAUAGAGAGAGUUGUAACAUAGGCAUUUGUUGAAACCCAGCUUGUGCGUUUCAAUAAACUUUAUUUGGUUAGGCAGAUUCAUGAGCUCUGUAAAGAUAUUUCUUUGUAUGUACAUGUACAGAAACUCGAUUGAUUCACAUGAACAGAAAUCAAAUCAAUAAAUACAUAACCAAUAAUUUUUUUCCCUGAGUUCCAUUGCACAGUAUCUGAUAAUAUAGGAACAUUUAAAAGAAAUGACAGGGCACAUGUUACAAACUCACGGGGGUAAAAGAUUCAAUAAAAAUGACGAAAAUAAAAGCUGGAAAAGAAUCAGAAGAUUUGCAUUAAUCAUGUUUGGCAUUGGCCCAGCACCCUGCAAGUGGAAAAUCUUUGAUGUGAAGGGAUGUAAGUGUGUGUAUAG
This 1336-nucleotide long non-coding RNA is filed under the name Citrus maxima (pomelo). Its description in RNAcentral is "long non-coding RNA (CMAX_LNC002193)". Lineage: Eukaryota; Viridiplantae; Streptophyta; Magnoliopsida; Sapindales; Rutaceae. The record is from RNAcentral.